RNAcentral lists this long non-coding RNA (1255 nucleotides) under Strigops habroptila (Kakapo). RNAcentral's name for it is "lncRNA (ENSSHBG00005010685.1)". The record is from RNAcentral. Lineage: Eukaryota; Metazoa; Chordata; Aves; Psittaciformes; Psittacidae.
UCUGUCUUUUUUUUUUUUUUCUUUUUUUCCUGGCACUGUGUAUCUUAAAAUACAGCAAUGAUUAUAAUCAUUGGCUAUGUAAAAAAAAGUAAAAUCUCACCAUUGAUUUUGGAAUCCUAGAGGUGAAAUAAAGUCCCUGCUCCAAGGAUGCAUUAAUUGUAUUCACAAUGUUUUUGACAGAUGCUUGUCCAGCUUUGUUUAAAGACCCUCAUAAAAGAGAUUUAACCGCCUCUCAGACAGUGUGUUUAAAUAUUCUGCUAUUUUUAUUAUAUGGUUCCAUUGGGGGUUUUAGUUACAUCUAACCUAAUUUUUCCCUGUUAAGUUUUAAGGCCAUUAAUAUUUUCUGUACCUUAGAAAUUUCAAAUAUAUGCCUUUUUUCCUUCAAAUGAGUAAAUAAACAGCAAAAACAUGUUCUUCAUUGUUACUAAUGUACAUGUGAUCACGCUUAAGAUAAGUCAGCACUGUACAGUUGCUUUGCCCUACUUUGAGCUUUCCUGUAACUUGAAUGAAAAAGGCCUGUGAUUCAUUGCUGAAGAAUCCAGAUUCUAUCAUGGAGCACGAACCUCAUUCUCUUUCACUUCUGCAGAGGACAGUGUUACACAACUAAUAUGUUAUGUGCCAGGGCAAAUGCAAAUAAACAGACUUUAAACAAUGGAAUUGUUACUGAAUUUUGUCUGAAAUAAAUAAGAAAUAGCAUCCUAGAGUUAUGCUUUUUAAUUUAAUUUUCGGUCUGCAAAUGUACCUUUAUGUAAUAAAAUAACUUUCUGAUAAUUGAAGACCAUGAAGACACAGUUUAUUCAUUGAUAGUGCAUAGCUGACACAGCUCUGGGAGAGUGACUUACAUUUUUGUUUUCAGAACUCUGAAUUCAAACCUUAAAAUGGUAUCUUUUCCAUAAACCAGACAAAAGGUCAUUUGCCUGUCAGAUCUUACAGUAAGAUAGUAGCCUUUUUUUUUCUUUUUUUAAUGAUUUCCCCCCCCCUUGUAUUUGCUAUAAGCUGUAAGAAAACCUCUCUGCAGACAUUUAGAAAAAGGAAUGAAUAGUACUUUUACAGCUUUGGUCAUUCAGGUUAAUUUUAUCACAGGGACUUGGAAAAUAAAGAAGAACUCAAUAUGUAUAUUGCUUCUUUGUUUUUCCUAUUCAGCUCUGCAAGCCAAAAGGAACAAGCACCAAAGAUUGGUUUUUUUUUCUCUUUCUCCCACAUUCGUGAAGGGCCACAGUCACUAUACAGAGGUGAAGGAAAACUCAUGCUAUCA